Molecule: unclassified non-coding RNA, 332 nt
Filed under: soil metagenome
Description: partial contains 5.8S ribosomal RNA, internal transcribed spacer 2, and large subunit ribosomal RNA
Rfam family: 5.8S ribosomal RNA (bases 1-120)
Source: RNAcentral
GAUGAAGAACGUAGCGAAAUGCGAUAAGUAAUGUGAAUUGCAGAGUUCAGUGAAUCAUCGAAUCUUUGAACGCACAUUGCGCCCGCCAGUAUUCUGGCGGGCAUGCCUGUUCGAGCGUCAUUUCAACCCUCAAGCACAGCUUGGUGUUGGGACUCGCGUUAAUUCGCGUUCCCCAAAUUGAUUGGCGGUCACGUCGAGCUUCCAUAGCGUAGUAGUAAAACCCUCGUUACUGGUAAUCGUCGCGGCCACGCCGUUAAACCCCAACUUCUGAAUGUUGACCUCGGAUCAGGUAGGAAUACCCGCUGAACUUAAGCAUAUCAAUAAGCGGAGGA